CCAAUAGCGUAUAUUAAAGUUGUUGCAGUUAAAAAGCUCGUAGUUGAAUUUUAGGCCUGGCCGGGCGGUCCGUCUUUGGCGAGUACUGUCCUGUUGUCGGGUCUUCCUUCUGGUGAACCAGUAUGCCCUUCAUUGGGUGUGCCGGGGAGCCAGGACCAUUACCUUGAAAAAAUUAGAGUGUUUAAAGCGGGCUAUUGCUUGAAUAGAUUAGCAUGGAAUAAUAGAAUAGGACGUUGUGGUUCUAUUUUGUUGGUUUCUAGGACCACCGUAAUGAUUAAUAGGGAUAGUUGGGGGCAUUAGUAUUCAAUUGUCAGAGGUGAAAUUCUUGGAUUUAUUGAAGACUAACUAUUGCGAAAGCAUUUGCCAAGGAUGUUUUCAUUAAUCAAGAACGAAAGUUAGGGGAUCGAAGACGAUCAGAUACCGUCGUAGUCUUAACCAUAAACUAUGCCGACUAGGAAUCGGGCGACGUUAUUUUCACGACUCG
This 484-nucleotide ribosomal RNA is filed under the name uncultured Glomeromycotina. RNAcentral describes it as "SSU rRNA". It matches the Rfam family "Eukaryotic small subunit ribosomal RNA", at positions 591 to 1078 of the family's 1831-position model. The record is from RNAcentral. Lineage: Eukaryota; Fungi; Glomeromycota.